Oncorhynchus mykiss (rainbow trout) is the source of this 770-nucleotide non-coding RNA. The record is from RefSeq and is a predicted model, not a curated record. Lineage: Eukaryota; Metazoa; Chordata; Actinopteri; Salmoniformes; Salmonidae.
AAAGUUCCUGGUGCCCAGUCCCAGCUUUCUCACCACAAGCACUGUUUAGAUAUGGUUGAUUGGUUUUUUGAUUAGGUGCACCCUUCAACACUUACACAUGGUUUACCUUCAUCAUGCAUCUCCAUUACAUGCCUACUGUCACACUUCACAGAUCUGCCAACCAAGGUAACAGUGUUUCCACCAAGCUGUUCAAUGCCUGGAGUGGCACGCUGGAACUUCCAGAGGCUUGUAGACCUGAAGCAGUGUGAUGUGGUACAGUCUUAACAGCUGGAGUCGUGUGCCCUGCAACUGCUAAACUGGCCAUGAAAGGUGAUACAGAUCUGCCACCAGGCUUUCAGCUGCAGUCACAGUAGUCCUCUGCUGUGGUAUUUAAUUUACCGGCUGCACCAGUUCUUACUACACUGGCCGUGAAGGGAGAAACAUUGAUGGAUACAGAUCUGCCAUGCACUCCACCACUGCCCGACAGCCUCACCCAGAAGGGAAUUACACUGGGCCUAUCGAGACUGACGGCUAACUAGAAAAAAUAAAACAUAUACACUCUCUCACACACAUUUGAUUUUGAUUAGUAUGUAAAUAUAUCGUGAUUACUUGUUUAUUUUCUAUGUAUGCUCCAUUUUAUUAUGAUUGGAAAUGUUUAGUCCUACAGAUUGUGUUAUCCAUGUCCAUUGUGGGAAAUGGAUAUGUGCAGUUGUGCUUACUCACAGUUGGUGGAAAGGUAAGGAGAGAUGGUGGCUGACAAGGAAAAAUAAAAUACAAUAUGUGCACACACA